AUUCAGUAACCUCUAAUGGAGCUGUAGCAACAGCAGAGGAAGAAGCACAGCUGAAGGGAACAAAUACACUUUUUGAUUGUUGCUAUCACUACCCAGGAAGGGAAGCUGCAGCAGCUGGGGACACCAUGUGCUUUAGUUGCCAGAAGCAUUUUGCUUCACCAGUAUGUUGCAUUAAUGAGCUAGGGGAAGAUCUGUGACUACUCAUGUAGCGUUGCAUCAGGCUUAUGAGGUCAUUGCUGCUUUUUAAUACCUUUCUGUAAGGGCUAGAGGAGAAUUGGAGUGGAGUCUUGGGGGACCAGUACUGGGAAGAGAUGUUAGCUGCCUCCAGACUUCUAGAUGCAGCACUGAAAGGAAGGUUGCAGACAGCAGAGUGUUUCUCUCAGCCUUCUUCUGUCUUUCAAGGCAGGGUAGGUACUCUGUCACUCACAGUACUGAGUGCAGCAGGUGGAAAGAAGGUCAUCCAAGUCCUGCCUAGAUAAAACAGGUUAGUUCUGGCCCUAUCCUAGGUCCUGGUCUGGCUGAUACAAGUCCAGGAUCUCAGUGGUAGAGACAGGAAUAAUUAAUGUUUACUCAAAAAUAAGAGUGUUAAGAGCACAAAGUCUACCUGUACAAUUGUAAAUUAAUAUCUAUGACUUAAUUAGAAGAGUCCCGAGUCUGAGAUCUAGAAAUAGUUGAACUUCUAAUAGUGUGUAUUGAACCCUGCCUAGGGGCAGAGCAGUAGCUGAAGUAAACAAUGAUCCACCCAUGUUAUCCAUCCCUCCAAGGAAGGCCAAGCAAGUCAAGCUUGCUGCAGCCCUGAUACCUGUCUCUACCUAGGAGAAAGGGGCUAUGGCUUUGCAGAAGCAGACUGAAAAACAGGGAAGAGAAUAUAUCCGAGCUGAAAACAGCUGAAAGGGGCUAAUGGAUUGCUGAGCAAUGCUAAACUAUAGCUCUUAUGUGACACGUGGCUGCAGUUGCAGCUGUAUGUUAUAUAGAAAUGGGGCAAUACAACCCCUGCUGUCAAGGAAUUUACUUUUUUUCAAGCAAGAUAGGCAGAGGAGGUCACGGGAAGUGAAAUGACUUGGUCACAGCAGGUCUGUCAUCAAGCCAGAAAUAGAGCAAACGGUGCCAGGUUAGAAGGCAUAUGAGACCAGUAUAGUUCCCUGCACACCCAUCCAUUCUCUCAGCUGUAUGUUUCCUGCUCUUUGCUGUGGGAGAGAAUUGUUGCCCCUUUCAGAGACAUCAUUGUCUGGAUCUGCUCUAGACAACAGUAUCCAACCCUUCCACGCCCUUCUGGCUUUGGAGGUCAGGUAUACAGAUCACUAUUACAAGGACAGAUUUCAAGUGAUCUUUCUAGUAUCCCUUCUUACAAAAGUUACUGAACACCUGGAAAAGGGAUGCUCACUUGCAGUUCCACAUGCCAUUUCUUACAUCUGGACAAGUCCUCAGAGCAUGGGGAAGCAGUGGGGCUGUCUGCUCCUUGGAGGAAGGGGAGCCAAGCGCAAAAACACAGCUAGCAGUGCCCAGCCCUGCAGCACCCAAACAAGGCAAGCAGGGCGAGUCUGGAGGCAGUAGCCAGGUUCAAAGAGUCCAGAUCCUCAGGUGGCAAGGCAGGUCCAAGAUAAAGCCAGAACAUCAAUCCACAGUGAGACAGGCUCAAGGCAAGAGUAGGAGGUCACUCCAUGCACCGGGGUAUCUGUAUCAGUGGGAUCUAUAGCUAGGCACAAGCAUGGCUGUGACCAAACUGGAAACCAGCAAUUGUAUAGCACAGCUCAGAAACAAGAGGCCUCCACAGCUGAGUAUAAAUAGAGUUCCUGGGCCCAUGGGCACGGAUUGUGGGUAGAGACCUCAGGUGAGGCUCAUCAGGACCAUGAAGGCCUAUUAAUGUACUUGGAGCCCUGACAUACAGCUGCAAGCAGUUCUUUCUGGGUUAACUUGACAUUUCUGUACUAUGAAGUUUAGUAUCUUUAUAGGUAGUGUUGUGAUGAUGAUCUAGAUUGGAAAAGCAAGCAUGUUCUGAAAAGUUCUGUUUAUCUGUUAUUUAGAAGUUCCAUGAGAAGAGGACCGCUAUUUACUGACCUUGAGUAUAACUUAGGACCAGGACUGGGGCAUACUUUUGUGAAAGUACCUUGGCUCCAGCCUGUACCUUCAACAUACAUGUUUCUUUCUUUAAUUCAUCUAGUUCAUCAGAGGUGUAAAUGGAGGGACAGGCCAGCUGAAGGGUGAUAGGCUCAGGAACAUGUCCCAGGUCAUUGUGUGGCAACUGCUUACUAUCUCAUAUGUGUCCAGGUUAGGAUUAGACCUCUGCAUGGUAGAGACUUUGUACGGAAGUGGGAGCACACUCUUUCAGUACAGUUCAUGAAAUACUAGGUGUGUGCAUCCCAUUUACGAUCACAAGAGCUGCAGGUCUAAUUCCUUGUGUGAGACACUGAAAAUAUACCCAAAGGAGUCCACAUUAGCAAAGCCACAAACCACAUUAGAAAAACCACAGAAGCCAAUUUGGCACUCAGGCCUUCUGUGCUCCUGGAAAAAAUCCAGGGCUCAGCUAGGGCUGCAUCCCCUUUCUCUACACAAAGGGCAGGCUCCACUUUCAGAAGGUUGUAUGUAGUGCAGCUGAUGGGAGCCAUCUUGCUGUCUCUGGACUUCAUAAACAUGAACCUCUGAUUUUGGCAAAGAAAUCCCAGAUUUUCAUCAAUAAGGGCAUCCAGGUCCUAUUUUUUUCCCUAUCCUGAACAGAAGCACUCACUGUCUGUGAACCCAGUUGUUGCAAUCAUAUUGCUAGAAAGAUGACUGAUGCAAUGUAGACUUCAGUGCAUGGGGUCACAAAUGGAUGUUAGUCUACUGAAACAUAUAUCUUUUGGGGGUACAGGAAACUCCAGAGGAAGUGAAAUUGAAGGGGGGAAAUCGACACAGCGGGAGGAGACAUCAAAGCCAGAGCAAAUGCAUUACAAGUUACACUAUAAGCAAAGCAACCAGGGAAAGCUGUGAAUUGGACUGUGGAAAAGAGCUGAUCUCUAUCCUUAUGAGAAGAUAAAAAGUCUGUAGUAGUCGGCAACCUCAAGUGCUAGUUGCUGACUGGAAGCAUUACUGGAAGGACCCUGGGAGCCUUUUUACGUGCUGACUGGAAGCAUUAUUGGUGCCUUCAUUUGAUUCCACAUCUAUUGCACGAUGAUCUCAUUGGCAUUCCCUGCAGUGAGCCCACUUAAUCAUGCUAACCAAAAAAAAAAAAAAAGAAA
Falco peregrinus (peregrine falcon) is the source of this 3215-nucleotide long non-coding RNA. RefSeq lists it as uncharacterized. The transcript is spliced from 2 exons. The record is from RefSeq and is a predicted model, not a curated record. Lineage: Eukaryota; Metazoa; Chordata; Aves; Falconiformes; Falconidae.